Molecule: ribosomal RNA, 377 nt
Filed under: uncultured bacterium
Lineage: Bacteria
Description: bacterial SSU rRNA
Rfam family: Bacterial small subunit ribosomal RNA
Source: RNAcentral
AAACGUAGGAUCCGAGCGUUAUCCGAAUUCACUGGGCGUAAAGCGCAUGCAGGCGGCCGCACAAGUUGGAUGUGAAAUCUCCCGGCUCAACUGGGAGGGGACGUUCAAAACUGUGCGGCUCGAGGGCGGUAGAGGAAGGUAGAAUUCCCGGUGUAGUGGUGAAAUGCGUAGAUAUCGGGAGGAAUACCCGUGGCGAAGGCGACCUUCUGGACCGUUUCUGACGCUCAGAUGCGAAAGCUAGGGGAGCGAACGGGAUUAGAAACCCCGGUAGUCCUAGCCGUAAACGAUGUCGACUGGGCGUGGGUGGGGUAAAAGCCAUCCGUGCCGAAGCUAACGCGUGAAGUCGACCGCCUGGGGACUACGGCCGCAAGGUUAAA